GGGCCCGCACAAGCGGUGGAGCAUGUGGUUUAAUUCGAUGAUACGCGAGGAACCUUACCAGGGCUUAAAUGUAGUGGGACAGGUCUAGAGAUAGACCCUUCUUCGGACUCAUUACAAGGUGCUGCAUGGUUGUCGUCAGCUCGUGCCGUGAGGUGUCAGGUUAAGUCCUAUAACGAGCGCAACCCCUAUCGUUAGUUGCCAGCGAGUAAUGUCGGGAACUCUAACGAAACUGCCAGUGCAAACUGUGAGGAAGGUGGGGAUGACGUCAAAUCAUCACGGCCCUUACGUCCUGGGCUACACACGUGCUACAAUGGCCGGUACAGAGAGCAGCCACUUCGCAAGAAGGAGCGAAUCCCCAAAACCGGCCCCAGUUCGGAUCGUAGUCUGCAACUCGACUACGUGAAGUUGGAAUC
This 413-nucleotide ribosomal RNA is filed under the name uncultured bacterium. RNAcentral's name for it is "bacterial SSU rRNA". It matches the Rfam family "Bacterial small subunit ribosomal RNA", at positions 917 to 1333 of the family's 1533-position model. The record is from RNAcentral.